This 616-nucleotide ribosomal RNA is filed under the name uncultured Legionella sp. RNAcentral describes it as "bacterial SSU rRNA". It matches the Rfam family "Bacterial small subunit ribosomal RNA", at positions 242 to 849 of the family's 1533-position model. The record is from RNAcentral. Lineage: Bacteria; Pseudomonadati; Pseudomonadota; Gammaproteobacteria; Legionellales; Legionellaceae.
UAGCUUGUUGGUGAGGUAAUGGCUCACCAAGGCGACGAUCGGUAGCUGGUCUGAGAGGAUGGCCAGCCACACUGGGACUGAGACACGGCCCAGACUCCUACGGGAGGCAGCAGUGGGGAAUAUUGGACAAUGGGGGAAACCCUGAUCCAGCAAUGCCGCGUGUGUGAAGAAGGCCUGAGGGUUGUAAAGCACUUUCAGUGGGGAGGAGGAUUAACAGGUUAAGAGCUGGUUAAUUGGACGUUACCCACAGAAGAAGCACCGGCCAACUCCGUGCCAGCAGCCGCGGUAAUACGGGGGGUGCGAGCGUUAAUCGGAAUUACUGGGCGUAAAGGGUGCGUAGGUGGUUUAAUAAGUUAUCUGUGAAAGCCCUGGGCUCAACCUGGGAAGGUCAGAUAAGACUGUUAGACUAGAGUAUAGGAGAGGGUAGUGGAAUUUCCGGUGUAGCGGUGAAAUGCGUAGAGAUCGGAAGGAACACCAGUGGCGAAGGCGGCUACCUGGCCUAGUACUGACACUGAGGCACGAAAGCGUGGGGAGCAAACAGGAUUAGAUACCCCGGUAGUCCACGCCGUAAACGAUGUCAACUAGCUGUUGGUCAUAUAAAUAUGAUUAGUGGCGC